GUGGAUUGAACAAGAAACAGCCUGGCAAGUUGCCUGGUGUAGGAGGUAUUAAUAUCGAAGUCAAGGAAAAGUCUCUCGCCAAGGUAGAGCAAGAAGAGAAG
This 101-nucleotide ribosomal RNA is filed under the name Thalassiosira rotula. RNAcentral describes it as "partial Archaeal small subunit ribosomal RNA". Lineage: Eukaryota; Bacillariophyta; Thalassiosirophyceae; Thalassiosirales; Thalassiosiraceae. The record is from RNAcentral.